RNAcentral lists this ribosomal RNA (663 nucleotides) under uncultured bacterium. RNAcentral describes it as "bacterial SSU rRNA". It matches the Rfam family "Bacterial small subunit ribosomal RNA", at positions 141 to 790 of the family's 1533-position model. The record is from RNAcentral.
GGAUAACAUUUGGAAACAGAUGCUAAUACCGCAUAGAUCCAAGAACCGCAUGGUUCUUGGCUGAAAGAUGGCGUAAGCUAUCGCUUUUGGAUGGACCCGCGGCGUAUUAGCUAGUUGGUGAGGUAAUGGCUCACCAAGGCGAUGAUACGUAGCCGAACUGAGAGGUUGAUCGGCCACAUUGGGACUGAGACACGGCCCAAACUCCUACGGGAGGCAGCAGUAGGGAAUCUUCCACAAUGGACGCAAGUCUGAUGGAGCAACGCCGCGUGAGUGAAGAAGGCUUUCGGGUCGUAAAACUCUGUUGUUGGAGAAGAAUGGUCGGCAGAGUAACUGUUGUCGGCGUGACGGUAUCCAACCAGAAAGCCACGGCUAACUACGUGCCAGCAGCCGCGGUAAUACGUAGGUGGCAAGCGUUAUCCGGAUUUAUUGGGCGUAAAGCGAGCGCAGGCGGUUUUUUAAGUCUGAUGUGAAAGCCCUCGGCUUAACCGAGGAAGCGCAUCGGAAACUGGGAAACUUGAGUGCAGAGGAGGACAGUGGAACUCCAUGUGUAGCGGUGAAAUGCGUAGAUAUAUGGAAGAACACCAGUGGCGAAGGCGGCUGUCUGGUCUGUAACUGACGCUGAGGCUCGAAAGCAUGGGUAGCGAACAGGAUUAGAUACCCUGG